Molecule: ribosomal RNA, 440 nt
Filed under: uncultured bacterium
Lineage: Bacteria
Description: partial 16S ribosomal RNA
Rfam family: Bacterial small subunit ribosomal RNA
Source: RNAcentral
CCUACGGGAGGCAGCAGUGGGGAAUAUUGCACAAUGGGGGAAACCCUGAUGCAGCGACGCCGCGUGAGUGAAGAAGGAUCUCGGUACGUCAAGCUCUAUCAGCAGGGAAGAAAAUGACGGUACCUGACUCAGAAGCCCCGGCUAACUACGUUCAAGCAGCCGCGGUUAUACGUCGGGGGCCAGCGUUAUCCGGCUUUACUGGGCGUAAAGGGGGCGUAGGUGGGAUGAUAAGUCUGGAGUUAAAUCUCGGGGGUUAACCACGAAACUGCCUUUGAAACUGGGAGGCUGGAGUGCAGGAGAGGUAAGCGGAAUUCCUAGUGUAGCGGUGAAAUGCGUAGAUAUUAGGAGGAACACCGGUGGCGAAGGCGGCUUACUGGACUGUAACUGACAUUGAGGCUCGAAAGCGUGGGGAGCAAACAGGAUUAGAUACCCUGGUAGUC